RNAcentral lists this ribosomal RNA (429 nucleotides) under Chloroflexota bacterium. RNAcentral's name for it is "Chloroflexi bacterium partial 16S ribosomal RNA". It matches the Rfam family "Bacterial small subunit ribosomal RNA", at positions 355 to 776 of the family's 1533-position model. Lineage: Bacteria; Bacillati; Chloroflexota. The record is from RNAcentral.
UGGGGAAUAUUGCACAAUCGGCGCAAGCCUUAUGCAGCCAUGCCGCGUGUAUGAAGAAGGCCUUCGGGUUGUAAAGUACUUUCAGCGGGGAGGAAGGGAGUAAAGUUAAUACCUCUGCUCAUUGCCGUUACCCGCAGAAGAAGCACCGGCUAACUCCGUGCCAUCAGCCGCUGUAAUACGGAGGGUGCAAGCGUUACUCGGAAUUACUGGGCGUAAAGCGCUCGCAGGCGGUUGGUUAAGUCAGAUGUGAAAACCCCGGGCUCAACAUGGGAACUGCAGCUGAUACUGGCAAGCUUGAGUCUCGUAGAGGGGGGUAGAAUUCCAGGUGUAGCGGUGAAAUGCGUAGAGAUCUGGAGGAAUACCGGUGGCGAAGGCGGCCCCCUGGACAAAGACUGACGCUCAGGUGCGAAAGCGUGGGGAGCAAACAGG